Molecule: ribosomal RNA, 600 nt
Filed under: Klebsiella pneumoniae
Lineage: Bacteria; Pseudomonadati; Pseudomonadota; Gammaproteobacteria; Enterobacterales; Enterobacteriaceae
Description: bacterial SSU rRNA
Rfam family: Bacterial small subunit ribosomal RNA
Source: RNAcentral
AAAUUGAAGAGUUUGAUCAUGGCUCAGAUUGAACGCUGGCGGCAGGCCUAACACAUGCAAGUCGAGCGGUAGCACAGAGAGGUUGCUCUCGGGUGACGAGCGGCGGACGGGUGAGUAAUGUCUGGGAAACUGCCUGAUGGAGGGGGAUAACUACUGGAAACGGUAGCUAAUACCGCAUAACGUCGCAAGACCAAAGUGGGGGACCUUCGGGCCUCAUGCCAUCAGAUGUGCCCAGAUGGGAUUAGCUAGUAGGUGGGGUAACGGCUCACCUAGGCGACGAUCCCUAGCUGGUCUGAGAGGAUGACCAGCCACACUGGAACUGAGACACGGUCCAGACUCCUACGGGAGGCAGCAGUGGGGAAUAUUGCACAAUGGGCGCAAGCCUGAUGCAGCCAUGCCGCGUGUGUGAAGAAGGCCUUCGGGUUGUAAAGCACUUUCAGCGGGGAGGAAGGCGGUGAGGUUAAUAACCUCAUCGAUUGACGUUACCCGCAGAAGAAGCACCGGCUAACUCCGUGCCAGCAGCCGCGGUAAUACGGAGGGUGCAAGCGUUAAUCGGAAUUACUGGGCGUAAAGCGCACGCAGGCGGUCUGUCAAGUCGGA